This 397-nucleotide ribosomal RNA is filed under the name uncultured bacterium. RNAcentral's name for it is "partial 16S ribosomal RNA". It matches the Rfam family "Bacterial small subunit ribosomal RNA", at positions 523 to 918 of the family's 1533-position model. The record is from RNAcentral.
AUACGUAGGGGGCGAGCGUUGUCCGGAAUGAUUGGGCGUAAAGGGCGCGUAGGCGGCCCGGUAAGUCUGGAGUGAAAGUCCUGUUUUUAAGAUGGGAAUUGCUUUGGAUACUGUCGGGCUUGAGGGCAGGAGAGGUAAGUGGAAUUCCGAGUGUAGCGGUGAAAUGCGUAGAGAUUGGGAGGAACACCAGUGGCGAAGGCGACUUACUGGACUGUAACUGACGCUGAGGCGCGAAAGUGUGGGGAGCAAACAGGAUUAGAUACCCUGGUAGUCCACACUGUAAACGAUGAAUGCUAGGUGUAGGGGGUAUCGACCCCUUCUGUGCCGCAGUCAACACAAUAAGCAUUCCGCCUGGGGAGUACGGCCGCAAGGUUGAAACUCAAAGGAAUUGACGGGG